RNAcentral lists this ribosomal RNA (492 nucleotides) under uncultured bacterium. RNAcentral's name for it is "partial 16S ribosomal RNA". It matches the Rfam family "Bacterial small subunit ribosomal RNA", at positions 29 to 507 of the family's 1533-position model. The record is from RNAcentral.
AGUGAACGCUGGCGGUAGGCCUAACACAUGCGAGUUGAACGGCAGCACAGUAAGAGCUUGCUCUUACGGGUGGCGAGUGGCGGACGGGUGAGGAAUACAUCGGAAUCUACUUUUUCGUGGGGGAUAACGUAGGGAAACUUACGCUAAUACCGCAUACGACCUACGGGUGAAAGCAGGGGAUCUUCGGACCUUGCGCGAUUGAAUGAGCCGAUGUCGGAUUAGCUAGUUGGCGGGGUAAAGGCCCACCAAGGCGACGAUCCGUAGCUGGUCUGAGAGGAUGAUCAGCCACACUGGAACUGAGACACGGUCCAGACUCCUACGGGAGGCAGCAGUGGGGAAUAUUGGACAAUGGGCGCAAGCCUGAUCCAGCCAUACCGCGUGGGUGAAGAAGGCCUUCGGGUUGUAAAGCCCUUUUGUUGGGAAAGAAAAGCAGCAGGUUAAUACCCCGCUGUUCUGACGGUACCCAAAGAAUAAGCACCGGCUAACUCCGUG